RNAcentral lists this long non-coding RNA (240 nucleotides) under Elaeis guineensis (African oil palm). RNAcentral's name for it is "long non-coding RNA (EGUI_LNC075737)". Lineage: Eukaryota; Viridiplantae; Streptophyta; Magnoliopsida; Arecales; Arecaceae. The record is from RNAcentral.
GGUGGGGGGAGAGAGAGAAGAAGAGAGGAGGUAAGUGGGGGGUUACCGAAAGAUGGCAGCGGAGGAGAUGAUGACGGUCAUGCAUGCUGGCCUUACAUCUCAUCGCAUUCCAUUGAAUGCUAUUUUUUUCUUUAACACACCGACAAAGCUAAUACUCUCUGAACUCUUCCAUUAGCUUAUAAAAAAAGUUUUGAGAUGCGUAUCGAUCUAACGGAGAGAGAUCCGACAGGAUAAAAGCUG